GUGCUUUAGUGAUUAAAAGUCCCUCAUAUUUAACACAUCCAUCCAACUCACUUUGUCAGCUGUCUUCCUGGUUUUUUGCUGAUCAUUAACGGAUGCAAAUCCU
Ziziphus jujuba (common jujube) is the source of this 103-nucleotide small nucleolar RNA. RefSeq annotates it as small nucleolar RNA snoR99. The record is from RefSeq and is a predicted model, not a curated record. NCBI's taxonomy places the organism in Eukaryota, Viridiplantae, Streptophyta, Magnoliopsida, Rosales, Rhamnaceae. The transcript has a single exon.